Molecule: ribosomal RNA, 479 nt
Filed under: uncultured bacterium
Lineage: Bacteria
Description: bacterial SSU rRNA
Rfam family: Bacterial small subunit ribosomal RNA
Source: RNAcentral
AUUGGACGCUGGCGGCAUGCCUUACACAUGCAAGUCGAACGGUAACGCGGGGCAACCUGGCGACGAGUGGCGAACGGGUGAGUAAUGCAUCGGAACGUGCCCAGUAGUGGGGGAUAGCCCGGCGAAAGCCGGAUUAAUACCGCAUACGACCUACGGGUGAAAGCGGGGGACCGGUAAGGCCUCGCGCUGUUGGAGCGGCCGAUGUCAGAUUAGGUAGUUGGUGGGGUAAAGGCCUACCAAGCCUUCGAUCUGUAGCUGGUCUGAGAGGACGACCAGCCACACUGGGACGUGAGACACGGCCCAGACUCCUACGGGAGGCAGCAGUAGGGAAUAUUGGACAAUGGGGGGAACCCGUGAUCCAGCCAUGCCGCGUGAGGGAAGAAGGUCCUCUGGAUUGUAAACCUCUUUUGGCAGGAAACAAACCUGCGCUAUACGCGCAGCUGAGGGUACCUGCAGAAUAAGCACCGGCUAACUCCGUG